GACGAACGCUGGCGGCGUGCUUAACACAUGCAAGUCGAACGGAAAGGCCCUGCUUUUGUGGGGUGCUCGAGUGGCGAACGGGUGAGUAACACGUGAGUAACCUGCCCUUGACUUUGGGAUAACUUCAGGAAACUGGGGCUAAUACCGGAUAGGAGCGCCUGCUGCAUGGUGGGGGUUGGAAAGUUCCGGCGGUUGGGGAUGGACUCGCGGCUUAUCAGCUUGUUGGUGGGGUAGUGGCGUACCAAGGCUUUGACGGGUAGCCGGCCUGAGAGGGUGACCGGCCACAUUGGGACUGAGAUACGGCCCAGACUCCUACGGGAGGCAGCAGUGGGGAAUAUUGCACAAUGGGCGGAAGCCUGAUGCAGCAACGCCGCGUGCGGAAUGACGGCCUUCGGGUUGUAAACCGCUUUCGCCUGUGACGAAGCGUGAGUGACGGUAAUGGGUAAAGAAGCACCGGCUAACUACGUG
RNAcentral lists this ribosomal RNA (468 nucleotides) under uncultured bacterium. RNAcentral's name for it is "partial 16S ribosomal RNA". It matches the Rfam family "Bacterial small subunit ribosomal RNA", at positions 28 to 507 of the family's 1533-position model. The record is from RNAcentral.